This 602-nucleotide ribosomal RNA is filed under the name uncultured bacterium. RNAcentral describes it as "bacterial SSU rRNA". It matches the Rfam family "Bacterial small subunit ribosomal RNA", at positions 185 to 804 of the family's 1533-position model. The record is from RNAcentral.
GUCGCAUGAUCUUUAUGCCAAAGAUUUAUCGCUUCAAGAUGGCCUCGCGUCUGAUUAGCUAGUUGGCGGGGUAACGGCCCACCAAGGCGACGAUCAGUAGCCGGACUGAGAGGUUGAACGGCCACAUUGGGACUGAGAUACGGCCCAGACUCCUACGGGAGGCAGCAGUGGGGAAUAUUGGGCAAUGGGCGCAAGCCUGACCCAGCAACGCCGCGUGAAGGAAGAAGGCUUUCGGGUUGUAAACUUCUUUUAAGAGGGAAGAGCAGAAGACGGUACCUCUAGAAUAAGCCACGGCUAACUACGUGCCAGCAGCCGCGGUAAUACGUAGGUGGCAAGCGUUGUCCGGAUUUACUGGGUGUAAAGGGCGUGCAGCCGGGUCUGCAAGUCAGAUGUGAAAUCCAUGGGCUCAACCCAUGAACUGCAUUUGAAACUGUAGAUCUUGAGUGUCGGAGGGGCAAUCGGAAUUCCUAGUGUAGCGGUGAAAUGCGUAGAUAUUAGGAGGAACACCAGUGGCGAAGGCGGAUUGCUGGACGAUAACUGACGGUGAGGCGCGAAAGUGUGGGGAGCAAACAGGAUUAGAUACCCUGGUAGUCCACACUGUA